Non-coding RNA from Erinaceus europaeus (western European hedgehog), 308 nucleotides. NCBI's taxonomy places the organism in Eukaryota, Metazoa, Chordata, Mammalia, Eulipotyphla, Erinaceidae. The record is from Rfam.
GGAUGUGAGGGCAUCUGGCUGCGACAUCUGUCACCCCACUGAUCUCCAGGGUUGAUUCGGCUGCUCUGGCUGGCUGGGCGGGUGUCCCCCUCCUCCCUCACCUCUUCAUGUGCAUCCCUCCUGAAGCUGCGAAUUUGGUGGAAGAGGACGGCCUUCCCCGAAUAGAGACGGACCAGUCUUUGUUCGAGGGUAUCCGAAUAGCUGCGCUUCCCUGCUAGAACCUCCAAACAAGCUCUCAAGGAACUCUGGUCUGCCUGACCCCAAAACUGGGCAGCCUCUGCUUGCGGACUCGUGCUCUGGCAGGCGCC